Molecule: ribosomal RNA, 458 nt
Filed under: uncultured Clostridium sp.
Lineage: Bacteria; Bacillati; Bacillota; Clostridia; Eubacteriales; Clostridiaceae
Description: bacterial SSU rRNA
Rfam family: Bacterial small subunit ribosomal RNA
Source: RNAcentral
CGACAAGCAGCGGAGCAUGUGGUUUAAGUUCGAAGCAACGCGAAGAACCUUACCUAGACUUGACAUCUCCUGAAUUACUCUGUAAUGGAGGAAGCCACUUCGGUGGCAGGAAGACAGGUGGUGCAUGGUUGUCGUCAGCUCGUGUCGUGAGAUGUGGGUUAAGUCCCGCAACGAGCGCAACCCUUAUUGUUAGUUGCUACCAUUUAGUUGAGCACUCUAGCGAGACUGCCCGGGUUAACCGGGAGGAAGGUGGGGAUGACGUCAAAUCAUCAUGCCCCUUAUGUCUAGGGCUACACACGUGCUACAAUGGUCGGCACAAUGAGAUGCAACCUCGCGAGAGUGAGCAAAACUAUAAAACCGAUCUCAGUUCGGAUUGUAGGCUGAAACUCGCCUACAUGAAGCUGGAGUUGCUAGUAAUCGCGAAUCAGAAUGUCGCGGUGAAUACGUUCCCGGGCCUU